Drosophila subobscura is the source of this 672-nucleotide long non-coding RNA. RefSeq lists it as uncharacterized. The transcript is spliced from 3 exons. Lineage: Eukaryota; Metazoa; Arthropoda; Insecta; Diptera; Drosophilidae. The record is from RefSeq and is a predicted model, not a curated record.
GUUGUAAUGAAACCAAGACAACCUUCAAUAGCAGCAACAAUAGCGCUUAUGACAUGGAUGAUCUGUCAUUCGUCUGCCUCUAAUUGCAAAAACAAAAAGUUUAAGGAAGACUGGACAUUGAGUACAGCUUCAUCUAUCAGCGGAAAUAUAAUCAUACAUCACCGCUGCCCAAGCAUUUAUUUUUUGUGUUUCCGGAAUGGAUUUAAUUUUCCGUAACUUCAUCCCAUUACCUGGCCUCUGAAUGCCAUCAUCAUGUAGACUGUGGGACCAUUUAAGGAAUGCAUUCAGCCUGCAUGAAUCUGCAUCUUAGAACGAAAGAUAUGGACGCAGAGCAGUUCUCAGUGGAAUGACUGCACGGCGGUGUACGCUGUGGAUUGUCAGAUGGUGCAUCGAUGGAAAUUUUCAAACCAGCAAAGAUCUUCUUAGCAAAGAAGGAGCAGAGUGUGAGGGUAGAGCUCCCGGUGUCAGAAAUAUACAUUUGUCAAUCAACGAGCUUCGAUGGGAUUUAUAAGACUCUUCGAUUGCACACCCGAAUGGACUUUUGGAGAGCUAGUUUAUUGAGGUGGUGGACAAGAAAAAGAAUCCGCACCACUGUACGCACAGAGCCUACAACAAUGUGGAAAUGUAUUUCAGUCGGAUAAAUAUUACUUAUUAUGUAAAUGCAUAGAACAC